This 411-nucleotide ribosomal RNA is filed under the name uncultured bacterium. RNAcentral's name for it is "bacterial SSU rRNA". It matches the Rfam family "Bacterial small subunit ribosomal RNA", at positions 28 to 436 of the family's 1533-position model. The record is from RNAcentral.
GAUGAACGCUGGCGGCGUGCUUAACACAUGCAAGUCGAGCGAUGAAGUUUCCUUCGGGAAACGGAUUAGCGGCGGACGGGUGAGUAACACGUGGGUAACCUGCCUCAUAGAGUGGAAUAGCCUUCCGAAAGGAAGAUUAAUACCGCAUAACGUCGAAAGAUGGCAUCAUCAUUCAACCAAAGGAGCAAUCCGCUAUGAGAUGGACCCGCGGCGCAUUAGCUAGUUGGUGGGGUAAUGGCCUACCAAGGCGACGAUGCGUAGCCGACCUGAGAGGGUGAUCGGCCACAUUGGGACUGAGACACGGCCCAGACUCCUACGGGAGGCAGCAGUGGGGAAUAUUGCACAAUGGGGGAAACCCUGAUGCAGCAACGCCGCGUGAGUGAUGAAGGUUUUCGGAUCGUAAAGCUCUGU